ACAGAGGUGGCAAGCGUUGUUCGGAAUUACUGGGCGUAAAGGGCGCGUAGGCGGUCUUGCAAGUCCCGUGUGAAAUCCCUCGGCCCAACUGAGGAACUGCACGGGAAACUGCUUGGCUUGAGUUCGGGAGAGGGAAGCGGAAUUCCAGGUGUAGCGGUGUAAUGCGUAGAUAUCUGGAGGAAUACCGGUGGCGAAGGCGGCAUCCUGGACCGACAUUGACGCUGAGGAGCGAAAGCUAGGGGAGCAAACGGUA
This 253-nucleotide ribosomal RNA is filed under the name uncultured prokaryote. RNAcentral describes it as "partial 16S ribosomal RNA". It matches the Rfam family "Bacterial small subunit ribosomal RNA", at positions 525 to 777 of the family's 1533-position model. The record is from RNAcentral.